AAAACAUGUCCAUUUGGAGGUAUAAAUGGUCUGGCCUGCUCACUGAUAAGUAUAUUUAAGAGCCGCGGUAUUUUGACCGUGCAAAGGUAGCAUAAUCAUUAGAGGUUUAAUUGGAAUCUGGUAUGAAGGGUUGGACAAAGGAAAAGCUGUCUUUACAUUAUAAGUUGAAUUUUACUUUUAAGUGAAAAGGCUUAAAUAAGUCAAAGGGACGAUAAGACCCUAUAAAGCUUUAUAAAUUAUUUAGAUUUAAUUAAUUUAAAAUAUAAAAAUUAAUUCUACAUUAUUUUAUUUUAUUGGGGCGAUAUGAGUAUAAUUAUUAUUAACUGCUUAAAAAGGAAACAAGUUUAGGUGAAUAUAGAAUUAAAUGAUCCUUUUUAAAGAUUAGAAGACUAAGUUACUUUAGGGAUAACAGCGUUAUUUCUUUUGAGAGUCCAUAUCGAAAAAGAAGAUUGCGACCUCGAUGUUGAAUUAAAAUAUCUAUAUAAUGCAGCCGUUAUAAAAGAGGGUCUGUUCGACCUUUAAAUUUUUACAUGAUUUGAGUUCAGACCGGCGUAAGCCAGGUUU
This 564-nucleotide ribosomal RNA is filed under the name Hexapanopeus paulensis (knobbed mud crab). Its description in RNAcentral is "partial 16S ribosomal RNA". It matches the Rfam family "Bacterial large subunit ribosomal RNA", at positions 1810 to 2633 of the family's 2925-position model. Lineage: Eukaryota; Metazoa; Arthropoda; Malacostraca; Decapoda; Panopeidae. The record is from RNAcentral.